This 350-nucleotide unclassified non-coding RNA is filed under the name soil metagenome. RNAcentral describes it as "partial contains 5.8S ribosomal RNA, internal transcribed spacer 2, and large subunit ribosomal RNA". The stretch from base 1 to 120 matches the Rfam family "5.8S ribosomal RNA", at positions 35 to 154 of the family's 154-position model. The record is from RNAcentral.
GAUGAAGAACGUAGCGAAAUGCGAUACGUAAUGUGAAUUGCAGAAUUCAGUGAAUCAUCGAGUCUUUGAACGCACAUUGCGCCCCCUGGUAUUCCGGGGGGCAUGCCUGUCCGAGCGUCAUUGCUGCCCUCAAGCACGGCUUGUGUGUUGGGCCCCCGCCCCCCGGUUCCCGGGGGGCGGGCCCGAAAGGCAGCGGCGGCACCGCGUCCGGUCCUCGAGCGUAUGGGGCUUCGUCACCCGCUCCGUAGGCCCGGCCGGCGCCCGCCGACGACCCCCCCUCAAUCUUUCCAGGUUGACCUCGGAUCAGGUAGGGAUACCCGCUGAACUUAAGCAUAUCAAUAAGCGGAGGA